CCUACGGGUGGCAGCAGUGAGGAAUAUUGGUCAAUGGACGAGAGUCUGAACCAGCCAAGUAGCGUGAAGGAUGACUGCCCUAUGGGUUGUAAACUUCUUUUAUAUGGGAAUAAAAUGUUCCACGUGUGGGAUUUUGUAUGUACCAUAUGAAUAAGGAUCGGCUAACUCCGUGCCAGCAGCCGCGGUAAUACGGAGGAUCCGAGCGUUAUCCGGAUUUAUUGGGUUUAAAGGGAGCGUAGGUGGAUUGUUAAGUCAGUUGUGAAAGUUUGCGGCUCAACCGUAAAAUUGCAGUUGAAACUGGCAGUCUUGAGUACAGUAGAGGUGGGCGGAAUUCGUGGUGUAGCGGUGAAAUGCUUAGAUAUCACGAAGAACUCCGAUUGCGAAGGCAGUUCACUGGACUGCAACUGACACUGAGGCUCGAAAGUGUGGGUAUCAAACAGGAGUAGAUACCCUAGUAGUC
Molecule: ribosomal RNA, 460 nt
Filed under: uncultured bacterium
Lineage: Bacteria
Description: partial 16S ribosomal RNA
Rfam family: Bacterial small subunit ribosomal RNA
Source: RNAcentral